GAUGAUCUCCAGCUUGCUGGGGGGAUUAGUGGCGAACGGGUGAGUAACACGUGAGUAACCUGCCCUUGACUCUGGGAUAAGCCUGGGAAACCGGGUCUAAUACUGGAUACGACCUUCUGGCGCAUGCCAUGUUGGUGGAAAGCUUUUGUGGUUUUGGAUGGACUCGCGGCCUAUCAGCUUGUUGGUGGGGUAAUGGCCUACCAAGGCGACGACGGGUAGCCGGCCUGAGAGGGUGACCGGCCACACUGGGACUGAGACACGGCCCAGACUCCUACGGGAGGCAGCAGUGGGGAAUAUUGCACAAUGGGCGCAAGCCUGAUGCAGCGACGCCGCGUGAGGGAUGAAGGCCUUCGGGUUGUAAACCUCUUUCAGUAGGGAAGAAGCCGCUCCUUUGGGGGUGGUGACGGUACCUGCAGAAAAAACGCCGGCUAACUACGUGCCAGCAGCCGCGGUAAUACGUAGGGCGCAAGCGUUAUCCGGAAUUAUUGGGCGUAAAGAGCUCGUAGGCGGUUUGUCGCGUCUGCCGUGAAAGUCCGGGGCUUAACUCCGGAUCUGCGGUGGGUACGGGCAGACUAUAGUGCAGUAGGGGAGACUGUAAUUCCUGGUGUAGCGGUGAAAUGCGCAGAUAUCACGAGGAACACCGAUGGCGAAAGCACGUCUCUGGGCUGUAACUGACGCUGAGGAGCGAAAGCAUGUGGAGCGAACACGAUUAUAUACCCUGGUAGUCCACGCCGUAUACGUUGGGCACUAUGUGUGGUGGACAUUCUACGU
RNAcentral lists this ribosomal RNA (771 nucleotides) under bacterium. Its description in RNAcentral is "bacterial SSU rRNA". It matches the Rfam family "Bacterial small subunit ribosomal RNA", at positions 68 to 837 of the family's 1533-position model. The record is from RNAcentral.